Molecule: ribosomal RNA, 402 nt
Filed under: uncultured bacterium
Lineage: Bacteria
Description: bacterial SSU rRNA
Rfam family: Bacterial small subunit ribosomal RNA
Source: RNAcentral
UGGGGAAUAUUGGACAAUGGGCGAAAGCCUGAUCCAGCCAUGCCGCGUGAGUGAUGAAGGCCCUAGGGUUGUAAAGCUCUUUUGUGCGGGAAGAUAAUGACGGUACCGCAAGAAUAAGCCCCGGCUAACUUCGUGCCAGCAGCCGCGGUAAUACGAAGGGGGCUAGCGUUGCUCGGAAUCACUGGGCGUAAAGGGUGCGUAGGCGGGUUUCUAAGUCAGAGGUGAAAGCCUGGAGCUCAACUCCAGAACUGCCUUUGAUACUGGAAGUCUUGAGUAUGGGAGAGGUGAGUGGAACUGCGAGUGUAGAGGUGAAAUUCGUAGAUAUUCGCAAGAACACCAGUGGCGAAGGCGGCUCACUGGCCCAUUACUGACGCUGAGGCACGAAAGCGUGGGGAGCAAACA